UGGAAGGCACGCUGCUAAACUGAAGACAGC
This 30-nucleotide non-coding RNA is filed under the name Rattus norvegicus (Norway rat). Lineage: Eukaryota; Metazoa; Chordata; Mammalia; Rodentia; Muridae. The record is from RNAcentral.